This 254-nucleotide ribosomal RNA is filed under the name uncultured bacterium. Its description in RNAcentral is "partial 16S ribosomal RNA". It matches the Rfam family "Bacterial small subunit ribosomal RNA", at positions 524 to 776 of the family's 1533-position model. The record is from RNAcentral.
UACGUAGGGUGCGAGCGUUGUCCGGAAUUACUGGGCGUAAAGAGCUCGUAGGUGGUUUGUCGCGUUGUCCGUGAAAACUCACAGCUCAACUGUGGGCGUGCGGGCGAUACGGGCAGACUGGAGUACUGCAGGGGAGACUGGAAUUCCUGGUGUAGCGGUGGAAUGCGCAGAUAUCAGGAGGAACACCGGUGGCGAAGGCGGGUCUCUGGGCCGAUACUGACGCUGAGGCGCGAAAGCGUGGGGAGCGAAACAGG